RNAcentral lists this transfer RNA (72 nucleotides) under Camelus bactrianus (Bactrian camel). It matches the Rfam family "tRNA". Rfam says of the family: Transfer RNA (tRNA) molecules are approximately 80 nucleotides in length. Their secondary structure includes four short double-helical elements and three loops (D, anti-codon, and T loops). The record is from Rfam by way of RNAcentral. Lineage: Eukaryota; Metazoa; Chordata; Mammalia; Artiodactyla; Camelidae. RNAcentral also lists the same sequence under 2 other names.
GAGGGUAUAGCUCAGUGGUAGAGCGCAUGCUUAGUGUGCAUGAGGUCCUGGGUUCAAUUCCCAGUACCUCCA